RNAcentral lists this ribosomal RNA (526 nucleotides) under uncultured bacterium. Its description in RNAcentral is "partial 16S ribosomal RNA". It matches the Rfam family "Bacterial small subunit ribosomal RNA", at positions 355 to 873 of the family's 1533-position model. The record is from RNAcentral.
UGGGGAAUUUUGGACAAUGGGCGAAAGCCUGAUCCAGCAAUGCCGCGUGUGUGAAGAAGGCCUUCGGGUUGUAAAGCACUUUUGUCCGGAAAGAAAUCCUUGGCUCUAAUACAGUCGGGGGAUGACGGUACCGGAAGAAUAAGCACCGGCUAACUACGUGCCAGCAGCCGCGGUAAUACGUAGGGUGCAAGCGUUAAUCGGAAUUACUGGGCGUAAAGCGUGCGCAGGCGGUUUGCUAAGACCGAUGUGAAAUCCCCGGGCUCAACCUGGGAACUGCAUUGGUGACUGGCAGGCUAGAGUAUGGCAGAGGGGGGUUAGAAUUCCACGUGUAGCAGUGAAAUGCGUAGAGAUGUGGAGGAAUACCGAUGGCGAAGGCAGCCCCCUGGGCCAAUACUGACGCUCAUGCACGAAAGCGUGGGGAGCAAACAGGAUUAGAUACCCUGGUAGUCCACGCCCUAAACGAUGUCAACUAGUUGUUGGGGAUUCAUUUCCUUAGUAACGUAGCUAACGCGUGAAGUUGACCGCC